Molecule: ribosomal RNA, 301 nt
Filed under: uncultured bacterium
Lineage: Bacteria
Description: partial 16S ribosomal RNA
Rfam family: Bacterial small subunit ribosomal RNA
Source: RNAcentral
CAGCGCCGCGGUAACACGUAGGGUGCAAGCGUUAAUCGGAAUUACUGGGCGCAAAGCGUGCGCAGGCGGUUAUAUAAGUCAGAUGUGAAAUCCCCGGGCUCAACCUGGGAACUGCAUUUGAGACUGCAUGGCUAGAGUGUGUCAGAGGGGGGUAGAAUUCCACGUGUAGCAGUGAAAUGCGUAGAUAUGUAGAGGAAUACCGAUGGCGAAGGCAGCCCCCUGGGAUAACACUGACGCUCAUGCACGAAAGCGUGGGGAGCAAACAGGAUUAGAUACCCCCGUAGUCCCUGUCUCUUAUAAC